RNAcentral lists this ribosomal RNA (805 nucleotides) under uncultured bacterium. RNAcentral describes it as "bacterial SSU rRNA". It matches the Rfam family "Bacterial small subunit ribosomal RNA", at positions 345 to 1173 of the family's 1533-position model. The record is from RNAcentral.
GGAGCAGCAGUGGGAUAUGCACAUGGGCGCAGCUGAUGCAGCGACGCGCAUGAGGGAUGAAGGCUUCGGGUGUAAACUCUUUCAGCAGGGAAGAAGCGCAAGUGACGGUACCUGCAGAUGAAGCGCCGGCUAACUACGUGCCAGCAGCCGCGGUAAUACGUAGGGCGCAAGCGUUGUCCGGAAUUAUUGGGCGUAAAGAGCUCGUAGGCGGUUUGUCGCGUCUGCUGUGAAAACUCGAGGCUCAACCUCGGGCUUGCAGUGGGUACGGGCAGACUAGAGUGCGGUAGGGGAGACUGGAAUUCCUGGUGUAGCGGUGGAAUGCGCAGAUAUCAGGAGGAACACCGAUGGCGAAGGCAGGUCUCUGGGCCGCAACUGACGCUGAGGAGCGAAAGCAUGGGGAGCGAACAGGAUUAGAUACCCUGGUAGUCCAUGCCGUAAACGUUGGGCACUAGGUGUGGGGCUCAUUCCACGAGUUCCGUGCCGCAGCAAACGCAUUAAGUGCCCCGCCUGGGGAGUACGGCCGCAAGGCUAAAACUCAAAGAAAUUGACGGGGGCCCGCACAAGCGGCGGAGCAUGCGGAUUAAUUCGAUGCAACGCGAAGAACCUUACCAAGGCUCGACAUACACCGGAAACUUCCAGAGAUGGUUGCCCCGCAAGGUCGGUGUACAGGUGGUGCAUGGUUGUCGUCAGCUCGUGUCGUGAGAUGUUGGGUUAAGUCCCGCAACGGGCGCAACCCUCGUCCUAUGUUGCCAGCGGGUCAUGCCGGGGACUCAUAGGAGACUGCCGGGGUCAACUCGGAGGAAGG